RNAcentral lists this long non-coding RNA (1015 nucleotides) under Homo sapiens (human). RNAcentral's name for it is "HSALNT0307284". Lineage: Eukaryota; Metazoa; Chordata; Mammalia; Primates; Hominidae. The record is from RNAcentral.
GUAAAUUUACUCAGGAAAUAUCCAGUAGUAUUACAUGCCAAGCCUAUUGUAAGAACUUUAUCAAUAUGAUCUCCUUAAUCCUUGCAGCAACGCUCUGACAGAUGGUGUUAUCCUGAUUUUGCAAGUGAAGAAACGGAAGCUCAAUGAGACUAAACUUGCCUAAGGUUACGUAGUUGUCAAGGGGCAAAAUCAGGAUUUGAAAUGAGGUCUGUCUUUUCUCUUUCUGUUAAAGGGCUUCUUUGAUGCCAACCCAGACCCUCCCAACCUCUGCCUCCUCCUGGACUGGCCUGGUGCUGACCCACCAUCCAUCUGCAUGUCUCCCACUGCCUGCCAUUGCAGCAGGACCACGUGGCCCACCCUUCUGAGAUGUUCCAGUCCUUCGCAUUCUGUCUGAGCCCCAGAGAUGGGGUUUCACCGUGUUAACCAGGAUGGUCUCGAUCUCCUGACCUCGUGAUCCGCCCGCCUCGGCCUCCCAAAGUGCUGGGAUUACAGGCGUGAGCCACCGUGCCCCGCCCAUCUCUUCAUGUUAAGUGCCUUAAUUUAAUCAAAUCUGUAAAGUCCCUUUUGCCACAUAAGAGAACAUGUGCACAGAUUGUGGGGAUUCAGGGCCAUUAUUCUGCCCCUACGUGUGGUCAUUGGCUGCCUGGCAGAUGACCUGCAGCCUGGUUUGGCAGCUGGAGCCGUGGCUGCUCCCCUCAGGACCUGAAUCUGAGGUGAUAUCAGCCAAGGCAACAAUGACUUGACCAGACUGUGGCCUCCUUGGUUCCUGCUGGUUUUCCAAGCCUGAUUCUCGGCCUUCUGGUUAAUUUCAUGAGCUACCUAAAGCCUGCCAAUAAAUUAUUUCUUGCAUAAAUUACCCAGAGCCAGUAUAUGUUACUUAUAAUCAAGAAUGUUGACUGAGAGGCUGGGCAUGUGGCUUACGUCUGUAAUCCCAGCACUUUGGGAGGCUGAGGUGGGAGGAUGACUUUAGCCCAGGAGUUCCAGACCAGACUGGGCAAUAUAGUGACACCCUAUA